This 431-nucleotide ribosomal RNA is filed under the name uncultured bacterium. Its description in RNAcentral is "bacterial SSU rRNA". It matches the Rfam family "Bacterial small subunit ribosomal RNA", at positions 35 to 507 of the family's 1533-position model. The record is from RNAcentral.
AACGAGCUGGCGGCAGGCCUAACACAUGCAAGUCGAGCGAGCAUUUCGGUGCUAGCGGCGGACGGGUUAGUAACGCGUGGGAACGUGCCCUUUGCUACGGAAUAGUCCUGGGAAACUGGGGGUAAUACCGUAUGUGCCCUUCGGGGGAAAGAUUUAUCGGCAAAGGAUCGGCCCGCGUUGGAUUAGGUAGUUGGUGGGGUAAUGGCCUACCAAGCCGACGAUCCAUAGCUGGUUUGAGAGGAUGAUCAGCAACACUGGGACUGAGACACGGCCCAGACUCCUACGGGAGGCAGCAGUGGGGAAUCUUAGACAAUGGGCGCAAGCCUGAUCUAGCCAUGCCGCGUGGACGAUGAAGGCCUUAGGGUUGUAAAGUCCUUUCAGCUGGGAAGAUAAUGACGGUACCAGCAGAAGAAGCCCCGGCUAACUCCGUG